Molecule: unclassified non-coding RNA, 337 nt
Filed under: soil metagenome
Description: partial contains 5.8S ribosomal RNA, internal transcribed spacer 2, and large subunit ribosomal RNA
Rfam family: 5.8S ribosomal RNA (bases 1-120)
Source: RNAcentral
GAUGAAGAACGUAGCGAAAUGCGAUAAGUAGUGUGAAUUGUAGAAUUCAGUGAAUCAUCGAAUCUUUGAACGCACAUUGCGCCCCUUGGUAUUCCAUGGGGCAUGCCUGUUCGAGCGUCAUUUGUACCUUCAAGCUCUGCUUGGUGUUGGGUGUUUGUCUCGCCUCUGCGUGUAGACUCGCCUCAAAACAAUUGGCAGCCGGCGUAUUGAUUUCGGAGCGCAGUACAUCUCGCGCUUUGCACUCAUAACGACGACGUCCAAAAGUACAUUUUUACACUCUUGACCUCGGAUCAGGUAGGGAUACCCGCUGAACUUAAGCAUAUCAAUAAGCGGAGGA